RNAcentral lists this long non-coding RNA (768 nucleotides) under Pan troglodytes (chimpanzee). Its description in RNAcentral is "lincRNA". Lineage: Eukaryota; Metazoa; Chordata; Mammalia; Primates; Hominidae. The record is from RNAcentral.
AACACAGACUGGAAAGAUACACACAAAAUUCAGGAUGGUAAAAGAAGAAAGGAGAUUCCUCUUGCAAAAGAAGCCAAGUAUAAACAUGGAAGAACAACUGCCUAAGCAAGUAGAAAAGUGUUCCAUAAUAGUGUGCAAUGAAUGAAGAGUUCUGGAUUAAUCUCUGGAACUCAACCUGCACCCUGAUCUUUAUUUUGAAUGGGAUCUAGAACGGGAUCUUGAAGUAGCUCUUUUUGGCGGAGGGGACACAGAAUGACCCUUUGAGGGUGGAGCAGGUAGGGGUGAAUUGGAAUGAGACUGGCUCCUUGAUCUGUAUUUUGACUUCAUAUCACCUUUUCCAUUUUCUUUGGAAGAUCGGGACCGAGACCUGCUUGGAGAUUUCUCAUACUCAUCCUUAGAUCUGCUUUGAGAACAAGAACAGGAGCCCAGAUCAGAUUUGGGCAUAGAUUUGCUCCUUGAGCUAGAUUUCCUGCCUUUUGAACGAGAACGUGAUCGACCUUUGCUCCGCAACCUAGAUCAGGAGUGACUUUUUGAGAUACUUCGAGAUCUACUGUGGCUGCUCCUGCGACUCCUACUUCGUGACCAUCUUCUAGAUCUAUACCUGGAUCUGCUUCCAGAAUCAGAUCGCCUAUGGCUUGUGCCUGGCUUACCUUCAAUAAGCCUAAUAUUUCUGCACCAUCCAGUUUGUCCAAAGCAAGCUUCAUGUCAAAAUAGGAGUGAAACUCAACGCCCUCACUUGUGCAUUCCUUGUGAGCAUCAACAUAGGUU